This 2672-nucleotide long non-coding RNA is filed under the name Homo sapiens (human). RNAcentral's name for it is "HSALNT0345520". Lineage: Eukaryota; Metazoa; Chordata; Mammalia; Primates; Hominidae. The record is from RNAcentral.
UUGCACCACUGCACUCCAGCCUGGGUAACAGAGUGAGACCUGGUCUCAAAUAUAUAUACUUUUUUCUGUGCUCUGAUGAUACUAGUAACUUCAGGGCAUGUGUUUGGCCUGUCUCUGGCAUGGUUCUGAUGGAUUUGUGGUGAGUGCCCUGCAUGCUCUUGUCCAUAUCCUCCCAGCGUAAGAAGGAUGGGUGUCUAAUGAGGCUGGCAGUGGCAAUCCAAUAUUCUGACUGUGGAACUGGACAGGUCUGAGAGUCUCACAGGUGGUCCCAUCCGGGCUGCACUCUGUGGGCUCAUCAGCCAUUUUUGUGCUUGUUUACAUUUCAUAUCACAGAUGCCCAAGACAGUGGUGAAGAAUUUUUUUCCUUUCCAACUUUUUAGGAGGUUCCUGUGCUGAUUUGUCACAUGGGUAAAAUGCGUGUUGCGGGGGUCUGGUGUGCAGAUUCUUCGGUCACCCAGGUAAUAACUGCAGCACGUAUUUUUCAGUCCUCACCCUCCUCCCACAGUCCACCCUCAAGUAGGCCCCGGUGUCUUUUGUUCCCUUCUUUGUGUUCAUGGGUUCUUAGCAUUUAGCUCCCACUUGUAAGUAAGAACAUGCAGUGUUUGGUUUUCUGUUCUUGUGUUGAUUCGUUUAGGAGAAUAGUCUCCUGUUCCAUCCAUGUUGCUGCAAAAGACAUUAUUUUUUUCUUUUUUAUGGCUGUGUAGUUAAGAAUUAAGAAUUGGGUUUUUUAAAGUUGUGGAGAGUAGCUGAUGAGGAGAUGGGACAGCAUAAUAUUCAACUACGGUAUUUCUUUUUCAAAGCUUAUUCAGGUAAAACAGUUUCAUUAAAGGGUAGAGGCCCUCUUUAGCAACAUGCUAGUGGAGAAUACCCCCCUUUGCCUGCCCAAGACAUACAGAAAAGAAGGAUUGUAGAAGGUCCCACGAAAACAUUAGAAUUAGGAGGCUGGAAUUUAAACUUAGCAAAGGAAAGCAGUAUCGGAACAGUGGUUUCAAGAACCCAGUCACGUCGCACAUUCUCAAGGAUGCUGCUGAGAAAACAGUGAGUCUUGGGCUUGCCUAAGGCCCCUUCCAACUCUGCAUGCUCUCUCUGUUCCUAUCCCUAAAUUGUCCAGUGACCAGCACAGGUUAUCUUACUGAGCUGGGCUUUCUAAUACAGUGGAGGUCUCCUCCAGGCGGUGGUGUACUGGUACAGCCUCGUGGGAGCCAGUUUUCAGCACUUCUUUCCAGUCCUCACUCCGUGUUGACAGGGUGGUAGCUUGAAAUCCAUCACGGUGGAAGUAUUUACACCAUGGAAACUGGCAAUUGGCAAAUGCUGCCAAUCAGCCAUCCUUACCACCUCUGGGCCCCUAGGCCUGGCCCAUUGUUAAAUUAUAUCCACAUAUCAUUGCCUCUAAGUGACAUACCUGGGCUACCUGGGCUGUUUUCUCUGCAGUGAUCUACUUCCUAGCCCCUCUUUGUAUUUAUAAAUGUGGUUGACUGCCCCUUUCCACAUCACUGAUGAAGAUCAGGCCUAGGAAAAUAGCUACCCGGAAUCUAAUUUUAGUAAUGUUUUUGUUUCAGGAAAAAUCGUCUUAUCUAAUUUUACGUAAUAGGGGUUCAGCGCAGUAGAGUAGUUGAUAUCAUGGUUUUUCCAGCCAGACAACCUGGGUUCAGAUUCCAGUUAUUUUAUUUGCAAUUUACAGGAUCUUAAAGGAGUUGCUAGAUGUCUUCAUACCUUGAUGUCCUCAUUCAGGGUGAUGGAUUCAAUCCUUGUAUAUCAUGCAGUUGUUUUAAAGAUUAAAUGGGUUCAUAUGUAUGAAGCACUUAGGAAACAUCAGGCACACGGUAGGUGUUGUUAGUAUUCAGCACACAAUUCCACAUGUACAAAUGUGUAUCUGGCAGUGUCUGUUAAGCUUCUCGGUAUGCCCAGUGCUGCUUGGAUAUAAUCAGAUGGCUAUUAUAGGCAAUACAGUAAAGAUGAUGAAGCCGUCAUGUACACUGUUGUUCUUUUUGUCAUUCUCAAAACUUAAUCUAUCUGAAGGAGAAGGGUUACUAGGAGUGUGAAAUUUAAUGGGUAAUUUCUACCUUACAAUCCACGCUCAGUAAUAUGGAGUUGAUACCCUCCUAGGGAGCUGGGAGACUUUACAGGUUUUUUAAGUCAGGAGCAUAGCUAGGAACCUUAUGUUCAUUACUUCAAACUUCUAAGCUAGAUAAUAUCAUUACUUGGAUUUUCCAGGUGCAGAGAAUGAGGAUCAGAAAUGUUGAAGAGUUUGCCCAGAGAUCCAGCUAGCAAAUAGCCAGCUUCAGGGCUGAUAGGACCGUCAUUGUCCCUGACCAUGACCCGUCACAUGGCCAGCUCCAGAUGGAUUGGAAGGUCUGCGGGAACUAGCUUUGGCCUAGGCCAAGAUCAUCCAACCAGACCUUCUCCUGCUUCCUAUUUAGGAGAACACAGACCCCAGGUGUCCCACUGCAGAGUCCCAGUGUAUGAAGGUCAACCCAGUGUGAGACCUCCAGCAUAUAAAAUAUGGAUGGAAAUCACAGCUUCAGAAGAGCAGUGAAGGAUACAAGGAAAGGAAAUGGGAUUAAAAAGAAAACUAACAAAGGGGACCUUAAUUCUAUAUGGCAGAUUUUCUUUUCUGAGAUGGAGUCUUACUCUGCUCCCAGGCUGGAGUACAGUGGCUCCAUCUAGGCUGA